This 390-nucleotide ribosomal RNA is filed under the name uncultured bacterium. RNAcentral's name for it is "bacterial SSU rRNA". It matches the Rfam family "Bacterial small subunit ribosomal RNA", at positions 144 to 518 of the family's 1533-position model. The record is from RNAcentral.
UAACAUCCGGAAACGGGUGCUAAUACCGCAUAGUUUUCUUGAUCGCAUGAUUGAGAAAGGAAAGACGGCCUUUGUGCUGUCGCUUAUGGAUGGACCCGCGGCGUAUUAGUUAGGUUGGUGAGGUAAUGGCUCACCAAGACGAUGAUACGUAGCCGACCUGAGAGGUGAUCGGCCACAUUGGGACUGAGACACGGCCCAAACUCCUACGGGAGGCAGCAGUAGGAAUCUUCCGCAAUGGACGAAAGUCUGACGGAGCAACGCCGCGUGAGUGAAGAAAGGUUUUCGGAUCGUAAAACUCUGUUGUCAGAGAAGAACAAGUUGGAGAGUAACUGCUCCAGCCUUGGCGGUAUCUGACCAGAAAGCCACGGCUAACUACGUGCCAGCCGCGGC